Equus asinus (donkey) is the source of this 1803-nucleotide long non-coding RNA. The record is from Ensembl. Lineage: Eukaryota; Metazoa; Chordata; Mammalia; Perissodactyla; Equidae.
UGCUUCGUCCCCGUGAUGACCAACAUGGGGAAAAUGGCGAGAGAAGGGGGGUCACGUAACCUGGGGAAAAUCACACUCAAGAGGCCACAAUUCGCCUUCACAAUGUUGUCACCCACUCUGCCUUCAGCCUCUCAAGGGCCACCAGGGAACAGAGCUCAGAGACUGGAUCUCUGAGUCUCAGCGGGAACUCAGGCCGACCCUGAGGGUUAUUAGAGCCGGGUAAGGGUUUCAACUGAGGAAGAGCUUGUGAACGGCCAGAGCUGUUUCCCACAGAAGCGGCAGCUUGUGGGGAGCGCACGUCACUUCCUGGUGAACACCUGGGCUGGGUGAUGCCACCCUGGCUUCAGAGGAAACUCCUGUUUUAGGAGGAAAGGAAAAGGACAAGGCCUUGAAAGGCUGCUGUGAUACUGAGGCAGUGAUCCUCAGAAUAGGACAGGGACAAUGAAAUGGAGAGCGUGCCUCUCGGGCUGCAAGCCGCCCAUGCACGCAUCUGAGAGCAUCCUCAUGGCUCUCCAGGAGUCUGUUCUCUUCGUCAACCUGUUCAAUUGUCUGGAUCUGCUGGUUUCUCUCUGACUGUCUCUCUGACCAUCUCUUGGUCUCCUGGCCUAUCUUUCCUAGCCUGACGGCUUUUCCAGGUUUUCUCUGCUUCCCCAUUUCCUCCUCUCUGGCUCUCCAUCUUCAGGUCUCAGUCUUGUCUUUUCCAGUCCAUCUUGCUCACCCUUCUCCUCUCUCCUCCCUUUCCUAGUCUGGGCCCAUCUCACUUCAUUGGUCUGAUUCUCUCCCACUCUGAUUCUAUUUUUUAAUCUGAUUUUCUCUCCAACUAUCUUCCUCCACCUGACUUUCUCAUUUUCUGACUCUCCAUUUUUGUCUCUCCCCAGUUCUUCCUCCUCCAUCACUGUCUCUUCCUCCAUCCUGAUGAUCUCUCCAUCUCUCUCCACUUCUCCAUCGGAUAUUCCGCCUCCCAAUUGGCGGAGGCUUUCACAAUAGCUAACGCUCACUGGUGUAUCAGGUACUAUACCAAAUCACUCAUAUAUAUGCACAUGCACACUUACACACGCACACUUUUCUCACAACCCUAAGAAGAUGCUGUUACAGCUAUUUCACUGAGCCACAGAGAGGUCAAGCAGGUAGUAAGUGGCAGGUGAGGAAGUCAAGCCCAGGGAUUCAGGUUUUGCUCCUCUUUCUCCAUUUUCCCCUGAUUCUCCAUCGCCUGGCUUUAUCCCUCCAUGUUUGAGUUCGACACUGUCUAUCCGCUCUCCCUCCAUCUCUCCGGCUGCACUGUCUCUUCAUCUCUCUCCAUACUGAGGAUUCCUCCAUUCUUCCUGCCUUGACCCCCGCUUCCCCAUCCAUCUCGCUCCUUCUCAUCUCCGCUUUCCUCUCCAAGUCUCCCUUGGCCGGCUCCUCCCGUCUCUCGAUCCCUCUCGUGGCAGCUCUGCCAGGUUCUCCCUAUGGCGCUGUCUCCACCCUUCCAGCCGCGGCUCGCUCCUCAGCUCCCCAGACCCGCUCCGACGCCGGCCGCCGCCACAGCCGCCCCGCUCAGCCGCCCCGCCUCCCUCACCUCACUAGCCGCCACCGAAGCCUCCACUUCCGGUCCCCAGCGCCCCUCGCGCGCCGGAAGCCGGUCCUGCGCCUGCGCACGCCACCCUGGCUCCGCCCCCCCGCAGACAGAGGAGCCAGUGGGCAGCUGCGGGCGCCCAAGACCCACUCUGCGCCUGCGCACAGCGCGCCCUGGCCCCCGCCUCCGGUGAUGCUGCGCCCUCUAGGGGCUGCGGUGGAUACUUGCAAGCGCCUCCUCCCGGCCCG